Molecule: long non-coding RNA, 86 nt
Organism: Frieseomelitta varia
Lineage: Eukaryota; Metazoa; Arthropoda; Insecta; Hymenoptera; Apidae
Exons: 3
Source: RefSeq, a predicted model, not a curated record
AAUGAACAACAUUGUCAGUUUAUUAUCGGUAAACAGGCAACCAUUUCCGCAACUAUCGACUAUUGCAAAAACGACGCAAUUCGCAG